GCCGUGGUUCCCUGUUUCAUAGGCGAGAAUCUUCCUAAACCGCGGGUCGCACGUUCAAUUCGUGUCGGGGGCACCA
Molecule: transfer RNA, 76 nt
Filed under: Nitrospira sp.
Lineage: Bacteria; Pseudomonadati; Nitrospirota; Nitrospiria; Nitrospirales; Nitrospiraceae
Description: tRNA-Leu
Source: RNAcentral